This 79-nucleotide transfer RNA is filed under the name Anguilla anguilla (European eel). RNAcentral describes it as "tRNA-OTHER". The record is from RNAcentral. Lineage: Eukaryota; Metazoa; Chordata; Actinopteri; Anguilliformes; Anguillidae.
GGCAGCGCAGCACAGUGGGUAAGGAGCUUGGCUUGCAACCGAAAGGUCACAGGUUCGAUUCCUGGACAAGGCACUGCCG